AAAAAAACACCUUUGAUAUAAUUUUUUAUUGUAAAGGGAGAGCUUGGAUGACUUUUAAAACAACUGAACUUUUUAGGAAGGCACUCGGUAGCCAAUUGGCUGUCUAUUAACUGAGUUUUCACAUAACUGGCCCUUGCAGCUCUUAUCCUGGCUAUCAUGUUUUUAUUAUUAUUUUGGUUAUUGUAUAGCCACCAAGCUGGAUAACUACUCAUUACGGCCUGGUGGUGGCUUGUUUAUUUGAAUUCGAAUUAUU
RNAcentral lists this unclassified non-coding RNA (253 nucleotides) under Hevea brasiliensis (rubber tree). Lineage: Eukaryota; Viridiplantae; Streptophyta; Magnoliopsida; Malpighiales; Euphorbiaceae. The record is from RNAcentral.